Molecule: ribosomal RNA, 373 nt
Filed under: uncultured organism
Description: partial 16S ribosomal RNA
Rfam family: Bacterial small subunit ribosomal RNA
Source: RNAcentral
GUAGGUGGCAAGCGUUGUCCGGAAUUAUUGGGCGUAAAGCGCGCGCAGGCGGUUCUUUAAGUCUGAUGUGAAAGCCCACGGCUCAACCGUGGAGGGUCAUUGGAAACUGGAGAGCUUGAGUACAGAAGAGGAAAGCGGAAUUCCACGUGUAGCGGUGAAAUGCGUAGAGAUGUGGAGGAACACCAGUGGCGAAGGCGGCUUUCUGGUCUGUAACUGACGCUGAGGCGCGAAAGCGUGGGGAGCAAACAGGAUUAGAUACCCUGGUAGUCCACGCCGUAAACGAUGAGUGCUAAGUGUUAGGGGGGUUUCCGCCCCCCUUAGUGCUGCAGCUAACGCAUUAAGCACUCCGCCUGGGAGUACGGCCGCAAGGCUG